UUCACAUCUGGGCGCCCAACUCUUUUCCUCUCUUCUCCUUUAUCUCAUUCUCUCACAAGCGGCUUCUCAAACACGCUUUUCAUUCAUAUCAUUCAAAAACCCUAAUUAUCAUAUAGGUGAUUCUCUGGCUGGCGAUUUCAUACAUCUUUGAUUGUCUCAAACACAAAACUCUCAUCCAGAUCUUGAAGGUCCAUCCUAUUCCUAUGAUAAAUGGACGCUGGAUAUAUACAUAGAUGCAAAAUUUAAAGAGAGAGAAAGGGUUCAACAAAUUAGAGAUCAGUGUAGAAAGAUACCGAUGAGUUUCCGGCGGACCACCGACGGCCUAUCCGAUGAAAGGGAAGGUAAGGUCGCACCUCCUAUUGUCUCAGAUUGCUCUUGAAAUUGAUAAACCUUAAAUCGAUACCCAUGUCAUAGAAGUUGAGCCCUAAAUCUACAGUUAUUUCCUUUAAUUAUGUCUCGGAGACCAUUUUCUAAUUUGUGCUUUUAUAAAGACGUAAUGCGAAUGCUAUUUUCCUUCGUCGCUUCAGUUUCAUUCGUAUAGACGUAGUAAUUCAGGAAUAUCCAUUCCUCAAUGAAUGAAUAAAGUAUGGAAACGUUGCCUGGGCAGUUUUUCAUUGGGGGAAUUUUAUCAGCAGUUAGACUAGGGUUCAUAAUCAGGCUGGGUUGGAAGCAUAGGUGGCAAGAUAGAAGUGUUUGCUUGUGGAUAUUAGAGGGAAAAUUGAAGGGUUAGAUGGUACUUUUAUUAACUAGAAGCAACUUCCAGCUAAGAAUAACAUAGGUAACCCUAAUUUGACAUGUGGGAAUGUGAAUCCAUGUAAUUUGUAGUGUGGGGAUCAAGUUUACUGCCUUCUUCUCGAAGUAGAUGGAAGAUAUGUAGAAAAUGCAUCAAUACAUGAUCCAGUUAUCAAUGACUAUGAGUUUGAGAAUUUGCAAUGUUUCAAGUUUGGGGAACCAAAAUUCCUUGCUCAACGAGUUUCCAGGUUACAACUGAUGAUGGUUUAAUUGUAGCUAAUUAAUCUGGUGGACAACCAAAAAGAAAAGCCAAGCAUCUGUGAUAUCCCGGAGGACGUCAAAAGGUUGACGGUGUAUGGUGAUCAAACAAGGGUUCCACAAGUUUUGACCAACUCUUUACCGAAUUUAGUGAUCACUACAACCAUGAGGAAGUUCGAAAGGCUUAUGAUAUGUUAAAGGAGAAGGAAGAUGUUGAAGAUAUGUUGUUCAAGGGCUUAUUCCAUGUCACGGGUCACUAGAAGUGAUACAAUUUUUUUGAAGUAGCGAUAUAGAGAAGAGUUUCCACGGAGCUCUAAAGACAGAGUUGGGUUAUUAUAUGACGCUAUACAGUCAAUAGUGUGCUAUAGCGGUGUCAAUACUUACAAGGCAGAUUGAGUUGACUUCUGGAAGUCAGCGGGUCGGCAAGAGGAAUCAAGAUUCAAUCUGUGCUACGGACGAAGUGGCCCACCAAAUGAUCCUAAGUUAAUUCAUACAUGCAUCAAGGAAAAACUCGAUAACAUAAUUACUUUCGAUGACAAGUCGAGGCUAGAAAGAGGUGGAAUGGCGGCUAAAAUGUUGUUUACGCUUCACAGGCUGGCAUUCCCAUUGUUAUAACUAGUGGUUUCAUUGGGGACAAUAUUGUAGAAUUUCAUUGAGGACAAUAUUGAAGUUUAAAGAGAUCACAGGUUAAAUACUUUUAAUGCGUAAAAGUGGACGAUCAAGUAUCCGGUAGGGAUAUUUAUAAUAUAAUUUUUGUUUCUUAACGAGGAUAAAAAGGUCAACGGGCUCAAGAUAAUUUAAGGCCGAGACACGAAGACAAGGCGCAAUUUAAUUGAAAAAGGGUUGCUCGGUUUGCUUUUCAAUCACUCACUACGAACGCUUUCAAACAAAUAAUAAAAAGUUCGAUCAAGGAUGGCUCAUGGAUUGCUAAUGGCUUGUGUGUUAAUUCACUCAUAUUUGUCAAUUGUGUACAAAUUUAGAUUGUUUAGAAUUUUAGGAGGAUGGUUGAUUUUUUUUACUAUAUUCACCGAAACUUUACAAUAUUCUAACGGGUUGUGAAAAGCAAAAAAGCUAUUCUAUUGGCAGAUGUAUCACAUAUUAGUGGUUUAAUUGAAGCUUGAGUCACC
This 2117-nucleotide long non-coding RNA is filed under the name Helianthus annuus (common sunflower). Its description in RNAcentral is "hypothetical non coding rna". Lineage: Eukaryota; Viridiplantae; Streptophyta; Magnoliopsida; Asterales; Asteraceae. The record is from RNAcentral.